GUUGUUGUGGCCGAGUGGUUAAGGCUAUGGACUUGAAAUCCAUUUUGGUUUCUCUGCACAGGUUCAAAUCCUGCCAAUAAUG
This 82-nucleotide transfer RNA is filed under the name Danionella translucida. It matches the Rfam family "tRNA". Rfam says of the family: Transfer RNA (tRNA) molecules are approximately 80 nucleotides in length. Their secondary structure includes four short double-helical elements and three loops (D, anti-codon, and T loops). Lineage: Eukaryota; Metazoa; Chordata; Actinopteri; Cypriniformes; Danionidae. The record is from Rfam by way of RNAcentral. RNAcentral also lists the same sequence under 1 other name.